Molecule: ribosomal RNA, 253 nt
Filed under: uncultured bacterium
Lineage: Bacteria
Description: partial 16S ribosomal RNA
Rfam family: Bacterial small subunit ribosomal RNA
Source: RNAcentral
UACGUAGGGACCAAGCGUUGUUCGGAUUUACUGGGCGUAAAGGGCGCGUAGGCGGCGCGGUAAGUCACUUGUGAAAUCUCUGAGCUUAACUCAGAACGGCCAAGUGAUACUGCAGUGCUAGAGUGUGGAAGGGGCAAUCGGAAUUCUUGGUGUAGCGGUGAAAUGCGUAGAUAUCAGGAGGAACACCAAUAGCGAAGGCAGCUCGCUGGGACGUUACUGACACUGAGGCGCGAAAGCGUGGGGAGCGAACAGG